AGGAUACCUUCAUUUUGCCUUUCUCAGGAGCUGCUUCAUUGAUGAGUGGCUGUUCAUCCCCAUUCACUGACAGCAUCCUCUUUUCUGGCGGCUGCUCCUCUGGCUGGCGGGCAAUCAGCAGGCGACAGGUGAAAGCAAACUGACCUGUGAUAUCCUCUGCUUCCUGGUUUAUGCUGGGUUUAGAAGCAGUGUAAGUUGGAAGACUAAGCCUCCUUACACGGCUGCCUCAUUGUUUCAGAGAAGAAACAACCUCUGUCCUUACACACAUUUAAGUUCUUGCAUUUGAACAUUAGGUGCUUGGGGGCUAGUUGGGUUUGUUUUCUUUUUCAAUUAUUUCCUUUUAUAUAUAUUUUAAUAAAGCUCCUAGCUAU
Molecule: long non-coding RNA, 371 nt
Organism: Pezoporus flaviventris
Lineage: Eukaryota; Metazoa; Chordata; Aves; Psittaciformes; Psittacidae
Exons: 2
Source: RefSeq, a predicted model, not a curated record